RNAcentral lists this ribosomal RNA (280 nucleotides) under uncultured bacterium. RNAcentral's name for it is "partial 16S ribosomal RNA". It matches the Rfam family "Bacterial small subunit ribosomal RNA", at positions 524 to 796 of the family's 1533-position model. The record is from RNAcentral.
UACGGAGGGGGGUUAGCGUUGUUCGGAAUUACUGGGGCGUAAAGCGCGCGUAGGCGGACUAUUAAGUCAGAGGUGAAAAUCCCGGGGGCUCAACCCCCGGAACUGCCUUUGAUACUGGUAGUCUUGAGUUCGAGAGAGGUAAGUGGAAUUCCGAGUGUAGAGGUGAAAUUCGUAGAUAUUCGGAGGAACACCAGUGGCGAAGGCGGCUUACUGGCUCGAUACUGACGCUGAGGUGCGAAAGUGUGGGGGAGCAAAACAGGAUUAGAUACCCCCGUAGUCC